ACUGGGGCUGGCCUGGGCCGCGUCACUGAACUGGGAGGACACACUGCUCACCCGAGAAGGCUCUGGCUGACCCUCUGCCCGGUUAAACAGCGACUUUGUGGCCAUGUGCUGGCGACACAGGUCCUGCAGAGGAAGGAUUGGCUGGAUCCGUGCUCUCUGCUUCUUGUCGGAAGAGCUAACCCAACCCCACAGAAUGGCUGAAUGGCUUUCUCAGGCUGGGGCACUCACUUCUGAUCAGUGACUAUAUAGCCAUACUCCUCAGCGGACGGUCGAGCUGAAGGCUGUCCCACCACUGUGGGCUGGCUCUGGCCCAAGGGACUUUUCUUCUCCAGCAGGACAGCCGAGAUGCCCAGAGGACUGGAUGUCUUGGGAGGUUCAGGGAAACCAGGGCUCAGCACCUGCCGAACUUUGAUGGAGGUGGAGCUGGCAGUGGGGUGUCCAGGAAGCAAGGGUGUGGGGGGCCGAGCGUCUGCUGUGUCCCCUCUCUGCAUUUGUUCUUCUAUUGUCUGUUACAAGACAGGAUGCAGGAAUCACUGAUGUCCGAAAGGAUUGUGGAAAAAAGAGGAGUGGAUUAAGGAUUCUGGCUUCUAGUCCUGUUGACGUGAAGUGAGGCCACAGGUGAUUAUUUGAAGUCUCUGGGCCUUAAAGUGAGGGACCAGAAUUUAGAUUCUGAGCCAUGAUCUCAAAGCAAGGGCAGGGGGCGCCGUUAUGAGGUGCUGGGAACUCACUUUCUUGACAUCGGCUCCUCCGUUCACAGCCCCUCCUGUAGAGCAUGAGAGCGCUAGUCAGGAAGAGCGUCAAAGCCAAGGUGGGAAAGACCGGAGCUCGGACCUGCUCCACCUUUGUGACAACUGUCCUGUUAGCAGCCCCAGCUGUUGCCCCUGCGCCCAGACUCCCACUUUUUACCCCCUCGAGCUUCCCACCCUCUUGUUCCCAUCCUCAAAAGAACUCUCUUUUCAGCCAAGCAUGCUGGACCAUGCCUAUAAUCCACACUCUGGAGGUAGAGGCAGCAUCAUGAGUUUUCAAAUCACCCCAGACGACAGCAAGACCCCAUAUCAAGAAGAAGAGUUAAACCCAAAAACUCUCUCCUACACGAAUCUCCAUGGAGAUGGGAGUCACUGGCCUCCCUGACUGGACACUCACCAAGAUGUCUUCCUGUGCCCUUGGGCAGUAACUGCAGCAGGGUUAAGAGGGUAGAAAGCUGUUCCGGGGUCAGCUGACGCAGCUCUACUCCGUAGCCUGCCAGCACAGCAGCCAAUCUCUGCAGACUUACAUCUGCUGAGAGGCAGACAUGAGCUUAGGACUGAUGGAAGGCUGGUAGGUGGUCGGCGGGGGGCGGGGGGGACAAGCACGUUUGGAAUUCUUUCCAAACACUAGGACACUGGUGCCCAUCCCAGGACCUUGAACAUACUUAGGGUGUGCCAGAUGCACCCCUUACUGUCCCUACAUGGAAUCUAGGGCCUGUGUAGAUCAGCCUGUCAGUAGACAGUUAAAUGUGUGAGUGAAAGGCAGAAUGCAUGCCAACUGUGGCGGUUCGCGCUUGUAAUUUCAGUGCUCUGGAGUCUGAGGCAAGAGGAUCGCAGCAGGACUGAGUCCAGCCUGAGCUAAAAAUGAGCUCAAGGAUAGCCUGGGAUAACAGCAAGACCUCAUCUCCCCCCCCCCCCCCCGGAACUGGGAAUCGAACCCAGGGCCUUGAGCUUGCCAGGCAAGCGCUCUACCGCUGAGCUAAAUUCCCAACCCUGCAAGACCUCAUCUUAAAAAUAAAAUUGACGUAUAAUAAGGGC
Molecule: non-coding RNA, 1784 nt
Organism: Rattus norvegicus (Norway rat)
Lineage: Eukaryota; Metazoa; Chordata; Mammalia; Rodentia; Muridae
Source: RefSeq, a predicted model, not a curated record